Long non-coding RNA from Lemur catta (Ring-tailed lemur), 246 nucleotides. RefSeq lists it as uncharacterized. Lineage: Eukaryota; Metazoa; Chordata; Mammalia; Primates; Lemuridae. The transcript is spliced from 3 exons. The record is from RefSeq and is a predicted model, not a curated record.
CUGAGACAGUCAAGGCGAAGGCUGAGGCCGGGAGGCUACAAGGAACCAAGGCCAGUCAAGGACCACUUGGUGGGCUUCAAAGAGGAUCUUUCAUCCAGCCAAUCCUUAAGAUGACUGUAGCCCAGGCUGACUCUAACCUCAUGAGAGACUCUGAACCUGAACCAGAACCACUGAGCUUAGCUAUUAUACUUCCAGAUUUCUGACUCACAAAAAACUAGACAGGGUCUUGCUAUGUUGCCCAGGCUG